RNAcentral lists this ribosomal RNA (497 nucleotides) under uncultured bacterium. Its description in RNAcentral is "partial 16S ribosomal RNA". It matches the Rfam family "Bacterial small subunit ribosomal RNA", at positions 28 to 507 of the family's 1533-position model. The record is from RNAcentral.
GAUGAACGCUGGCGGCGGGCCUAAUACAUGCAAGUCGAGCGAACAGACGAGGAGCUUGCUCCUCUGACGUGAGCGGCGGACGGGUGAGUAACACGUGGAUAACCUACCUAUAAGACUGGGAUAACUUCGGGAAACCGGAUCUAAUAUCGGAUGAUAUAUUGAACCGCAUGGUUCAAUAGUGAAAGACGGUUUUGCUGUCACUUAUAGAUGGAUCCGCGCCGCAUUAGCUAGUUGGUAAGGUAACGGCUUACCAAGGCAACGAUGCGUAGCCGACCUGAGAGGGUGAUCAGCCACACUGGAACUGAGACACGGUCCAGACUCCUACGGGAGGCAGCAGUAGGGAAUAUUCCGCAAUGGGCGAAAGCCUGACGGAGCAACGCCGCGUGAGUGAUGAAGGUCUUCGGAUCGUAAAACUCUGUUAUUAGGGAAGAACAAAUGUGUAAGUAACUAUGCACGUCUUGACGGUACCUAAUCAGAAAGCCACGGCUAACUACGUG